RNAcentral lists this ribosomal RNA (364 nucleotides) under Trichomonas vaginalis G3. Its description in RNAcentral is "5.8S ribosomal RNA". The stretch from base 1 to 137 matches the Rfam family "Eukaryotic small subunit ribosomal RNA", at positions 1671 to 1831 of the family's 1831-position model. Lineage: Eukaryota; Parabasalia; Trichomonadida; Trichomonadidae. The record is from RNAcentral.
GCCCGUCGCUCCUACCGAUUGGAUGACUCGGUGAAAUCACCGGAUGCUUACGAGCAGAAAGUGAUUAAAUCACGUUAUCUAGAGGAAGGAGAAGUCGUAACAAGGUAACGGUAGGUGAACCUGCCGUUGGAUCAGUUCUAGUUUUAAUAACUAACACCAACUUCUUUUAUUAAACAAAAACCAAUACAAAAUUAAAAACUAACUUCAUCAAAAACCAAGUCUCUAAGCAAUGGAUGUCUUGGCUCCUCACACGAUGAAGAACGUGGCAUAAUGUGUUAAGUAACCGGAGUUGCAAACAUCAUGACAGGUUAAUCUUUGAAUGCAAAUUGCGCUAAACUCGAUCUCGGUCGAGAAGCAUGGGUGU